RNAcentral lists this ribosomal RNA (497 nucleotides) under uncultured bacterium. RNAcentral describes it as "partial 16S ribosomal RNA". It matches the Rfam family "Bacterial small subunit ribosomal RNA", at positions 28 to 507 of the family's 1533-position model. The record is from RNAcentral.
GAUGAACGCUGGCGGCGUGCCUAAUACAUGCAAGUCGAGCGAACGGACGAGAAGCUUGCUUCUCUGAUGUUAGCGGCGGACGGGUGAGUAACACGUGGAUAACCUACCUAUAAGACUGGGAUAACUUCGGGAAACCGGAGCUAAUACCGGAUAAUAUUUUGAACCGCAUGGUUCAAAAGUGAAAGACGGUCUUGCUGUCACUUAUAGAUGGAUCCGCGCUGCAUUAGCUAGUUGGUAAGGUAACGGCUUACCAAGGCAACGAUGCAUAGCCGACCUGAGAGGGUGAUCGGCCACCCGGGAACUGAGACACGGUCCAGACUCCUACGGGAGGCAGCAGUAGGGAAUCUUCCGCAAUGGGCGAAAGCCUGACGGAGCAACGCCGCGUGAGUGAUGAAGGUCCUCGGAUCGUAAAACUCUGUUAUUAGGGAAGAACAUAUGUGUAAGUAACUGUGCACAUCUUGACGGUACCUAAUCAGAAAGCCACGGCUAACUACGUG